Molecule: long non-coding RNA, 1512 nt
Filed under: Coturnix japonica (Japanese quail)
Lineage: Eukaryota; Metazoa; Chordata; Aves; Galliformes; Phasianidae
Description: lncRNA (ENSCJPG00005001669.1)
Source: RNAcentral
CCCGCCUCUCCCUGCCCCUCCCCCCACUGGGUUUGGCCACGCCCAUUUCCCGUUGGGAGGCGGGGCCAGGACCGGAAGUGGUUGGACCGGAAGAGGAAGAAGAAGAAGAAGAGGAUGGAGCGGAACCGGAAGGGGCGGGGCAAGUGGUGCCGUUGGUGGUCACGUGUUGGGACGGGCGGGGCCUACGGGGUCUCCUGAAAGCCCCUCGGGCGCAGGCGGAAGUACGCAAGCGGAAGAUGGUGUCGUUCUUUGAUGACGUCACAGUGUUCCUGUUCGAUCAGGAGACUCCAACCAACGAGUUGAUCUGCCAGAGCGCCGCCGUGGGGCAGGAGAACGCUAUAGCGCCUCCCGAUGGUCUGGGUAGGUAUAACGUUGGGCUGGAGGACCCGCUGGGAGGACUGAGCCCAAUAGGGAGGGGGAGGGGCUUCCUGACCCAUAAGUGGAGGGUUCAGCUCUAUGGAAGUCGGGCUCAGACCCAUAGAAAGUGGGUCUGGGGGGUCCCAGUCCCAUAGGAAGGGGUCUCAGCCCCACAAAUGGGGUCCUGACCCCAUAUUGAGGAUCUAAAGCCCCAUAGAAAGGGUCAUUUAUGGGUCCCAGACCCAUAUAAAGGGUCCUGAGGGGUCCUCGUCCCAUUAGUAAGGGGUCCCAGCCCCACAUAAGGGGGUUCUGACCCCAUAUUGGGGAUCUAGAGGGUCUGAGCCCCAUAGAAAAGGGUUCUUUGGGGGUCCCAGCCCCAUAUAAAGGGACCUGGGGGGACCUCAAUCCCAUAGGAAGGGGUCUCAGCCCCAUAAAUGGGGUCCUGACCCCAUAUUGGGGAUCUAGAGGGUCUGAGCCCCAUAGAAAGGGGUCAUUUAUGGGUCCCAGCCCCAUAGAAAGGGUUCCAGGAGGGGUUCCAGCCCCAUGGGGGAGAUGUGGGGGAUCCUAUGGGGGGGUGCAUGGGGCAGAUUUGGGGUUGGGGGGUAAUUAAGGGGNUGUGGGGCAGAUAUAGGGCAGAGGGGGGGGAAUAUGGGGAAGAUAUGGGGCAGAGGGGGGGAAUAUAGGGCAGAUAUGGGGUAGAGAAAGGGGAUAUGGGGCAGAUAUGGGGCAGAUAUGGGGUAAAUAGGGGCAGAUAUGGGGUAAAUAGGGGCAGAUAUGGGGGAUUUAGGGGCAGAUAUGGGGCAGAUAUGGGGCAGAUAUUGGGCAGGAGGGGGGAUAUGGGGCAGAUAUGGGGCAGAUAUGGGGCACAAGGAGGGAUAUAGGGGCAGAUAUGGGGCAUUUAGGGGCAGAUAUGGGGGAUAUAGGGCAGAUAUGGGGGAUAUAGGGGCAGAUAUGGGGUAAAUAGGGGCAGAUAUGGGGAUAUAGGGGCAGAUAUGGGGCAGCUAUGGGGUAUUGAUAAUUGGGGGGGUGGGAUGUGGGAGGGGCUGAGUUUGGGGGCUCCAUCCCCAUUGGCUCCGCCCCCCUUAGUGGGCGGGGCUUAAGGAUAUCGCCGUCACCCAUUGGCUUGUCCCACUUUGAGUGACAGCUUGUCCCCGC